CCCAUCGGAUUUAUGGUUGGUGGGCACGUGAUAGAAACACAGCGCGGAGGAUCCUAAAAUAGACCAAUAAUGCUGAGAAUAUCAGCUCCUUGUAUUACCCCCUUUUUAUAAGUGUGGCUUUGGAAGUUCGAAAAAAACUGCUAUGAGGCAUCUAUGACGACUGUCUAUCCGAUAAGGGAGUUGUUGAGGUUGCAG
Molecule: long non-coding RNA, 195 nt
Organism: Zophobas morio
Lineage: Eukaryota; Metazoa; Arthropoda; Insecta; Coleoptera; Tenebrionidae
Exons: 3
Source: RefSeq, a predicted model, not a curated record